UACGUAUGGUGCAAGCGUUAUCCGGAUUUACUGGGCGUAAAGGGAGCGCAGGCGGCGCGCCAAGUCUGAUGUGAAACCCCGGGGCUCAACCCCGGGCAUGCAUUGGAAACUGGCGGGCUGGAGUGCCGGAGAGGUAAGCGGAAUUCCUAGUGUAGCGGUGAAAUGCGUAGAUAUUAGGAGGAACACCAGUGGCUAAGGCGGCUUACUGGACGGCAACUGACGCUGAGGCUCGAAAGCGUGGGGAGCAAACAGG
RNAcentral lists this ribosomal RNA (253 nucleotides) under uncultured bacterium. RNAcentral describes it as "partial 16S ribosomal RNA". It matches the Rfam family "Bacterial small subunit ribosomal RNA", at positions 524 to 776 of the family's 1533-position model. The record is from RNAcentral.